RNAcentral lists this ribosomal RNA (428 nucleotides) under Ixodes scapularis (black-legged tick). RNAcentral describes it as "partial 12S ribosomal RNA". Lineage: Eukaryota; Metazoa; Arthropoda; Arachnida; Ixodida; Ixodidae. The record is from RNAcentral.
UAAAAAAUUUUGGCGGUAUUUUAAGCUUAUUAGAGGAAUUUGCUCUGUGAUGGACACAACGCCUUAAUCUUACUUAAUUUAGUAAUUUAAAUCAGUUUGUAUACCACUAUAUUAAUUAUAUUGAAUAGUUAUAUUUAAUAUUUUUUUUUAAAAAAAUAUAUUAAGUCAAGGUGCAUCUAAUAAUUAUGAAUGAAGUGAAUUACAUUAAUUUUAAUGUAAUUUUUUACAUGAAAAAAUUAAUUAGGAUUUAAUAGUAAAAUACUAAUAUUAUGAGUAUUUGAAUCAAGCUCUAAAAUAUGCACAUAUCGCCCGUCGCUCUCAGAAGUGAGAUAAGUCGUAACAAAGUAAAAAUACUGGAAAGUGUUUUUUAAAAUGAAAUCAUUUGAUGUUUCAUUUACAAUGAAAAUUUUGUUGUAUAACCAUUUUAA